RNAcentral lists this long non-coding RNA (706 nucleotides) under Homo sapiens (human). RNAcentral describes it as "non-protein coding lnc-BEST3-1:2". The record is from RNAcentral. Lineage: Eukaryota; Metazoa; Chordata; Mammalia; Primates; Hominidae.
GAGAGGCGGCCUCAGGUUAACUUCAAGCAUGUUGGGCUCUCCAGGAGGGAGAAGAGGCACCUUUGCCGUGGGUUGAGGACUCCUAGAACCAACCUGAGACUCCGCGGCCAUAUACACCUUACGACGUGUGUGUGUGUGGCGGGAGAUGGGAGGGGAGGAAUCCUGUAGAACCCAGAUCCCAUCAUUCCAGCAACUGCCAGAGCGUUCGAGAAUGUCAUGUCUGUACCUGUCUUCUCUCAUCUUUUGUGCCAACUGUUUUAUCAAACUUCUACCCCACUUUAGGUCUUCCAGAGUACAACACAAAUAUACUGCCCAGGUUCUAAAACAUGUAUAAGAGUUAACAAAAUCAGCUGAGGUUGAGCAGAAAUUGUAUAGGAAAAAAUAGGAAAAACACAGAGACCAAUCUCAGCUGCAAGAAGGUUCAGCUAGACACUGCAAGCAAAAGUAUAACUCCUGAAGGUCACUUUGAGAAGAUGAGGUAUCAACAGCCACUACUAUUAGGCAAGGUACAAGUAUCACAACACUAGUGCCAUCUGAGAAUCCAUGUCAACCCUUAGCUAAGGAAGUAGCUCCCAACCUGGAGAUCUCUGGGUCCUUGAGGACUCUUAAAGUAGUUAUGGAGCUCAUUGAACUAUUUUCAACAUUUCAAAAAGAUAUCACGUAGCAAUUGUACAUCCAUCCUUAAUAAAACUGCACAAGCAAACUG